UCCAAGUUCAAAAUGCUUUACCCUUAAAGAAUUCCAAGCUCAAAACACUGUACCCCUGAAGAAUUCCAAACUCAAAACACUGUACCCCUGAAGAAUUCCAAACUCAAAAUCCUUUACCCCUGAAGAAUUCCAAGCUCAAAACACUGUACCCCUGAAGAAUUCCAAACUCAAAAUCCUUUACCCCUGAAGAAUUCCAAGCUCAAAACACUGUACCCCUGAAGAAUUCCAAGCUAAAAACACUGUACCCCUGAAGAAUUCCAAGCUCAAAAUCCUUUACCCCUGAAGAAUUCCAAGCUCAAAACACCCUACCCCUGAAGAAUUCCAAACUCAAAACACUGUACCCCUGAAGAAUUCCAAACUCAAAACACUGUACCCCUGAAGAAUUCCAAGCUAAAAACACUGUACCCCUGAAGAAUUCCAAACUCAAAAUCCUUUACCCCCAAAGAAUUCCAAGCUCAAAACAAUCUACCCUUGAAGAAUUCCAAGCUCAAAACACCCUACCCCUGAAGAAUUCCAGGUAUCCUCGACAGGGGGGGUACGGAUAUUAAAUGGAAUAGCCCAUUGCCCCUCGUAUUUGUCCAUAAGAGACCCCUUGUUAUUGUAUCAUGUUUUGAGAAUGAGUUCAAUUUUGAUAUUUGUUGUUGAUCUGAGCAAAAUAUUGAUUAUUGAUUUGCCUACUGAGGCACACAGUAUUGAACAGUCAAUUGUGGUGAGUGAUGCUGAACUGCCUGUUGUAUGUUGUGAGUGAUUUUGAGCACCUGUUGUGAUGAGUGACACUGAAUUGCCCCAAUUGUGGCUCAGGAAAAAUGUACCUGCUGACUUGUCAAAUAAUCUCCUUAAAUAAUGUUCUGGGAAGUAAUUUGUGUAAUUGAUUACAAACAAAAACAAGGG
RNAcentral lists this long non-coding RNA (891 nucleotides) under Paramuricea clavata. Lineage: Eukaryota; Metazoa; Cnidaria; Anthozoa; Malacalcyonacea; Plexauridae. The record is from RNAcentral.